UUUUUUUUUUACCAAACUUAUGAUAACCUGUGACCAUGACCUUAUUGAUCAAAUUAUAAUGAACUCAACCAGUAUAAAAGAUUCUCUUAGAAUCAGGAAUGCUCCUAAGGGCUUUUCUCUUUGAAACCAUUAUCUUACAAGUUAAAAAUAAGAAUGUCUGAUAGGUCAAUUUUUUAAAACAUACAUAGUCUUGUUUCUCUAUAAUCUCAUGAUACUUCCCACCUCUGGGUCUGAGGAGUUUGGCUUCCUCCCUCUUUCCUGGCUCAUUUUUAAAUGACUUUAAGCUCACCAAGGGCAAGAUUUCUCCAGGAAGUUUUCCCUGAUCUCUGUCCCAGGAGGCCGAGGGGCCUACCUCUGCAUUCCCACAGCAUCCUGAGCUUGUUUUUAUCAUUGUACUUAUAUUUGUUAUGAUUGAGAUGGGCUAUUUACUUGAAUGUUUCCUGCUUCAUUGUGAGACUCCAAAGGAUGGCAACAGUGUCCUCAUCAUCUUCAUAUCCUGUGCACAAUGUCAGAUGGUGAAAAUAUUCAUUGAACUGCAAUGGGAGCAGAAUCAGGACAUUCUGGUUCUGGAAGCAAUUAUCAACCCGCCACCCACCUGGAAGUUCUGCAGGUGUGUCAUACACACAGGCCCUGACAUUUUCAACCAGGCUUCAACACUCAUCUUGGGCACUGUUGUAGAACAAUUGAUGAGCCCCUGUAGCAGCAGACUUCUAAGGUGAGAAGUCCUGAGAUGUGGGCAAAAAGGGAGCCCGGGAGUCCCUGCAGUUAGAAAUAAAAAAGCAUCGAGGUUUCUAGACACUCAAUUUGAACUCUGUUAAAUGAAACACAGGCCCUUUGAGAGAGGUGUUUGUUCUGGAUUCAGCUGCGUUCUGUUCAGAGAAUGGCCUGUGGGGACAGAUCUGUCACAGGCAUGCAGAUGUCUGGUUUAAGACGGAGGACUCCCUCCAGCCUGUUUGUGAGCUAGCCAAUAUUGUAAUUGAAGGUGAGCCUGACCUCAGUCCUCCUGGCUCUGAGGAGAAUGCCACUCAGCCGGGCCUUUGAGUGAGCUCAUGAGCAACAGUGUCUGCCUUCCAGAGUACAAACAUUGCUUGCUCCAUUUUAGCCCCUUCUACUUGGCCCCAUGGGGGCUAUGGGAUAAUGUCAGUGGUCCCCACAUAAUGUGCAUCAAUAAGCAAACAAUAAAAAAAAAUACUAGUUCACAUAGACUUGCU
Molecule: long non-coding RNA, 1211 nt
Filed under: Macaca mulatta (Rhesus monkey)
Lineage: Eukaryota; Metazoa; Chordata; Mammalia; Primates; Cercopithecidae
Description: lncRNA (ENSMMUG00000051570.1)
Source: RNAcentral